Eriocheir sinensis (Chinese mitten crab) is the source of this 1641-nucleotide long non-coding RNA. RefSeq lists it as uncharacterized. The record is from RefSeq and is a predicted model, not a curated record. The transcript has 3 exons. NCBI's taxonomy places the organism in Eukaryota, Metazoa, Arthropoda, Malacostraca, Decapoda, Varunidae.
CUCUCUCUCUCUCUCUCUCUCUCUCUCUCUCUUUAAACACAAAAUUACGUAAUCUAUUCAUUUAACCCUUUUCAGGUCUCUUCGUGAGCUCCUCUUUCCCCCUCCCUCCUCCUCCUCCUCCUCCUCCUCCUCCUCCUCCGCAUUUCAUUCAUUCUUCCUACCUUUAUUCCUCCCUUUCCUCUCUCCUUCUCCCGUUUCUUCACUCUUCCUUAACUCCUUCUAUUCACUAUAAUUUUGUUUUAAGUAAAGUGUGUGUGUGUGUGUGUGUGUGUGUGUGUGUGUGUGUGUGUGUGUGUGUGUGUGUGUGUGUGUGUGUGUGUGUGUGUGUGUGUGUGUAUCGCAUUGCCGCUGCCUUGGUAACACUGACCUUAGUAACGCCAAACAAUGUUACCAGAUCCAAACAGUCGUGACAAAUCCAUUAGUAUUAAAAAGAAAGAAAAGAAAAAAGGAAAAAAAACAAGAAAACAAAAGGUAAAAUAACGUAACUAUCUCAUUGGUUUUUCCUGUUAAUUAAUUCCAAGUUGGCAAAAGCUAUUUCUAAUUUUCCUUUUAUUUUCAUCUUCUUUAUCAGUUUAGUUUUAAUGCCUUAAAUUUCGUGUGUGUUGUUUUAGUCUUACGCUCUUUGUUUUCUUUUCCUUCAUAGUCAACGUUAUCUCUCUCCUCCUCUAAACCUCACCUUCUCUUCUUCACCGAAACAUAGGUCUUUGAGGCUACUGACAGCAAUCUCUACUCUGUUCCCUCCUACUUUAGUGCUUCCUACCUCCAGGAUUACAUAUUCUGGAAGGGGUUUCACUAUAUUUCUCGCUUCUCUGGAUAGUCAUCUUUUCUUAAGCAUAUAUAACUAAACUAGAGGGCGGGCGUCUGACAGCUCAUAAGAUCUGGCAAGCUGAGGGGAUCAAGCAACAAAAUAGCAUAAAAAAAUGACUUUCACUUCGAUUCAAAUUAUCGGAGAGCAAUUCGUUUGUAUGUAAGGUCGAUCAUAAUGUUAGUCUGGUUCACUGAUGUUUUCUGAUCAUUAAUAGAUGUUUCAAGAUUAUUUCACUAUCUUCACACCGUUUUCUUGAGUCGUAUUAGCAUUAUUCUUAGGUAAACACCCUUAUGUGUAGGUUCUCUUAAGGAAACCCAUUUAUUUUGAGGUAAACUCGGUUCUUCUAAGCUAACACCGUCUCUUUUAAGGCGAGCACGAUUCAGUUAAAGUAGACAUUGAUUUGUUAAGUUAAAAAUGGUUCUGUUAAGUUAAAUACGGAUAAGCUAAGGUAUUUACGGGAGCCACUUUUCCAUUUUUCUUCCUACCCACCCGCUUUCCUUCCGACCUAUACCCACUUUUAUGUUCUCUUUUCACGGUUCUGUUAAGGUAAAGGUAGUUCUGUUAAGGGUAAAGGUGGUUCUGAUGAGGUAAGGGCUGUUCUGUAAGGCAAGGCGGUUCUGUUAAGGUAAAGGUAGUUCUGUUAAGGGUAAAGGUGGUUCUGUACGACAAGGCGGUUCUGUUAAGGUAAAGGUAGUUCUGUUAAGGGUAGUUCUGUUGAGGCAAGGGCUGGUCUGUAAGGCAAGGCGGUUCUGUUGAGGUCAAGUCGGGUCUGGUAAGGGCGUAGCACCGUUCCCUCAGCCCAGCAGCGGCGUGGUGUCGUUUUUUUAGGCCUC